Apis mellifera (honey bee) is the source of this 676-nucleotide long non-coding RNA. RefSeq lists it as uncharacterized. The record is from RefSeq and is a predicted model, not a curated record. The transcript has 2 exons. NCBI's taxonomy places the organism in Eukaryota, Metazoa, Arthropoda, Insecta, Hymenoptera, Apidae.
AAACCAGUGUCAUCGGCAACAUAAUUUACAGUAUAUGCAACAUUAGUUUGUGGAUCAACAAAAGAGAAGGUACCUCGAACUCGUAAGAAUUGACCAUCAGUUCCUCCUUCGACUACUUCUGCAGAUUCCUGUUUAACUUGACCGUCGGAAAGUUGGAAACCGUAGUUAUAACCACCAAGUCCAACAUUGUCAGAGGGAGUUUCUUUAACGAGGACUAUUUCUUGAGGCGCAGCGGAAACAACAACAACCAGAGCAAAAAUAAUAGCAAUCUAAAAGGAGACAGGCUUCCAAAAUUCUUCAGUAAAGAUGUCGAAAUCAUCGAGUGGCAUUGGCCGGUUGGCGGUGGUAGAACGAUGACCGACAAAGGAAGAGGCGGUGAAUGUCAGGCAAGAAUUCAAGGAAGAGCGGCCCAGGAGCGAAAAUCGCACGUGAUUUCACUGUGCUUGUAAUCUCAUACGGAUCCCUGUCUUACCAAACUUGGAUGGAACAAUGAACAGAAUCGUCGUCAGAAAAUCCUUGCAGAAGAUAUAUAGGAUUUGCUAUCGCAGUUUAAGGGAAGUUAAAUAAAGAUGAUUAUUCAAAAGGGAAUAUGAAUUUAUGAAUGCAACCAAUGAUUAUUCCGAGUAAAAUGUCGAAAAAUAAAUUAAACUGCGAUAAGAUAGGUGUUUCUAAAAAA